UACGUAGGCAGCGAGCGUUGUUCGGAGUUACUGGGCGUAAAGAGUGCGUAGGCGGUUUUCUAAGUUUGGUGCGAAAUCUCCCGGCUCAACUGGGAGGGUGCGCCGAAGACUGGAAGGCUUGAGUAUGGGAGAGGUAAGCGGAAUUCCUGGUGUAGCGGUGAAAUGCGUAGAUAUCAGGAGGAACACCUGCGGUGUAGACGGCUUACUGGACCAUAACUGACGCUGAGGCACGAAAGCGUGGGUAGCAAACAGG
RNAcentral lists this ribosomal RNA (253 nucleotides) under uncultured bacterium. RNAcentral's name for it is "partial 16S ribosomal RNA". It matches the Rfam family "Bacterial small subunit ribosomal RNA", at positions 524 to 776 of the family's 1533-position model. The record is from RNAcentral.